GGGCCCGCACAAGCGGUGGAGCAUGUGGUUUAAUUCGAUGAUACGCGAGGAACCUUACCAGGGCUUAAAUGUAACGGGACAGAUCUAGAGAUAGAUCCUUCUUCGGACUCAUUACAAGGUGCUGCAUGGUUGUCGUCAGCUCGUGCCGUGAGGUGUCAGGUUAAGUCCUAUAACGAGCGCAACCCCCAUCGUUAGUUGCCAACGAGUAAUGUCGGGAACUCUAACGAAACUGCCGGUGCAAACCGUGAGGAAGGUGGGGAUGACGUCAAAUCAUCACGGCCCUUACGUCCUGGGCUACACACGUGCUACAAUGGUCGGUACAGAGAGCAGCCACUACGCGAGUAGGAGCAAAUCUUCAAAGCCGAUCGUAGUCCGGAUUGCAGUCUGCAACUCGACUGCAUGAAGCUGGAAUCGCUAGUAA
This 421-nucleotide ribosomal RNA is filed under the name uncultured bacterium. Its description in RNAcentral is "bacterial SSU rRNA". It matches the Rfam family "Bacterial small subunit ribosomal RNA", at positions 917 to 1341 of the family's 1533-position model. The record is from RNAcentral.